RNAcentral lists this transfer RNA (72 nucleotides) under Cricetulus griseus (Chinese hamster). It matches the Rfam family "tRNA". Rfam says of the family: Transfer RNA (tRNA) molecules are approximately 80 nucleotides in length. Lineage: Eukaryota; Metazoa; Chordata; Mammalia; Rodentia; Cricetidae. The record is from Rfam by way of RNAcentral.
UGGGGCUUAGCUUAGUGGUAUAGCACUCGCCUAACAUGUGUGAGAACUUGGGUUCGAUUCCUAGUAGUCCAA